This 75-nucleotide antisense RNA is filed under the name Streptomyces noursei. RNAcentral describes it as "ASpks sRNA". It matches the Rfam family "ASpks TB sRNA". RNAcentral also lists the same sequence under 1 other name. The record is from RNAcentral. Lineage: Bacteria; Bacillati; Actinomycetota; Actinomycetes; Kitasatosporales; Streptomycetaceae.
CUUCAGCGAGCCGAGCAGCAGCGGCCGUUCCUCGGCCCGGCCCUGACCGUACGUGGCCAGCAGCGCCUGCGCCUC